Small nucleolar RNA from Acomys russatus (golden spiny mouse), 144 nucleotides. RefSeq annotates it as small nucleolar RNA SNORA48. The transcript has a single exon. NCBI's taxonomy places the organism in Eukaryota, Metazoa, Chordata, Mammalia, Rodentia, Muridae. The record is from RefSeq and is a predicted model, not a curated record.
UCCCCCCGGCAAUGGGCAAAGAGAUACCUUGUUGAUGGUGCUGUUUUUAUAUCAGUCAGGGGCAGAGCAGAUGGCAGUCCUUUGCUCAUCUUAGUUUGAUGCUUGGCUUGGUGGCCAAAGCUGUCUUAUACCUAGGACUCAGGA